Molecule: non-coding RNA, 668 nt
Filed under: Oryza barthii
Lineage: Eukaryota; Viridiplantae; Streptophyta; Magnoliopsida; Poales; Poaceae
Source: RNAcentral
CAUGUUCUGUUGGUGUAACCAUCAUAAUUGAAAUUUUUCCUGUUAUUUAAGCAUGUAUGGCAAAAUUAAACUGAGGAUGUAAAUUUGUAUAAAGGCAAAGCUGGCCAGAGCAUAUAUAUGUGAGUAUUGCUGACUGUACUCCCACCAGCCGAACACACCCACACAAAAAAGGAACAUUUGUAGAGUAAUAACUACCCCCUCUGUUUCAUAUUGUAUUGUGUUUUAGUUUUGUUGUAAGUCAAAAUUCUUUUACUUUGACCAAGUUUGUAGUAAAAUAAUUAACAUCUAAAUACCAAACAAAUACACUAUUGAGACAUAUUUCAUGGUUGAUUUUUCUAUAAACUUGGUCAAAGUUAGAGAAGUUUGACUUAGGACAAAACUAAACACCUUAUGAUAUGGAACAGAGGGUAUACAAUAUAAGUUAGCAGUCAAAGUUGCAUUUUACCUUCUCGAUGUCCAAAACAUCACUUACCUGUGACCAGAGGGACUGUAUAGGAACAUUCAUCACUUACCUUAAACCUAGUACUCCUUCCAUCCACGAGAGUUGUACGUAUAACUUUUUUCACAGUGACCAAGGAGAACACUAACUCCUCUGAUCCAUUUAUUCAUCUAUAUGGAUUCAUACGCAGUGUCGUUUCGUUUUUCCCGCAUAUCGCGCAUACGCAACC